ACGCUGGCGGCGUGCCUAACACAUGCAAGUCGGACGCGCUCAGCAAUGAGCGAGUGGCGGACGGGUGAGUAACACGUGGGAACCUACCUUGAGGUGAGGGAUACCGGCGAGAAAUCGCCGACAAGACCGCAUAGGCUCUUUAGCGAGAGCAAAGCCGUAAGGCGCCACAGGAUGGGCCCGCGGCCGAUUAGCUGGCUGGUGGGGUAACGGCUCACCAGGGCUGCGAUCGGUAGCUGGUCUGAGAGGACGAUCAGCCACACUGGGAUUGAGAACGGCCCAGACUCCUACGGGGGGCAGCAGUGAGGAAUUUUCCGCAAUGGAGGAAACUCUGACGGAGCAACGCCGCGUGCAGGAAGACGGCCUUCGGGUUGUAAACUGCUUUUCUGUGGGAAGAGCAAGGACGGUACCACAGGAACAAGCCCCGGCUAACUACGUGCCAGCAGCCGCGGUAAUACGUAGGGGGCAAGCGUUGUCCGGAGUUACUGGGCGUAAAGGGCACGCAGGCGGUUGUGUCAGUUUGCGGGGACAGUGAGCGGCUU
Molecule: ribosomal RNA, 539 nt
Filed under: uncultured bacterium
Lineage: Bacteria
Description: bacterial SSU rRNA
Rfam family: Bacterial small subunit ribosomal RNA
Source: RNAcentral